RNAcentral lists this long non-coding RNA (507 nucleotides) under Pan troglodytes (chimpanzee). RNAcentral describes it as "long non-coding RNA NONPTRT010676". Lineage: Eukaryota; Metazoa; Chordata; Mammalia; Primates; Hominidae. The record is from RNAcentral.
GAUUGUGAAGAAAACUUGUUUUCAUUUCCCUGCAAAGGGGAAGACAUCCCUACAUAAAGGGCAGGCAUACCAAUGAUUUACUCCUUCAAAUAGGAAAAAAAAAAAAAAAAAAAGCACCCAAAAAAAUGUUUGAAAAACUCAAAGAGGAUGUAAAGCAACUGUCAGUUAACCACCCAAGUUAACUGACAUUCAAAUAUGCUGCAGAUUCCCCCAGGGGUGAAUUUCUGGUAGCUGUAAUUUAUUUGAAAAACCAGUGAUUUGGAGUAAUCUGCCCUAAGAAGCUAAAUAAAGUCUCGCAGUGAUGCGCCAUUGUGCCUCUGGCUGCUUGGAAGAAUCACUCAUGAAACUAUUUUGUGUGUGUUUAUUGCGUUUCUGUGUUAAGUCACAGGACACUUUUUACAAACCUCACAUAGGGAGAGGUUGUCAAGGCACAAAACCUGCAGUAAGUUUCCAAAAAGGGGAUUUAAUUAUUUUUUCUACAAAAAUGUUUUUAAAAAAAGGUAAAAA